UCGUUAUUAACUUCUGUAAAUCCAAAUUUCACAACAAAAAAAGUUCUCUUGGAACAAAAGUGGAAAGUAAUAUGUGAUCCAUUUAACCACAAAAAAAAGGUCACGAAAGUCAUCACCGUGCAAUUAACGAGUUGGGUUGGGAUGAAGGGCAGUUGGAAUCGCCACUGGACAGAUUCAUGUUCGGUGGCAGCCACCCUCUAUCCAUCACCAUCCAAAUCAUUCAAUCAACAAUAACGACCAUGACGCCUUUGGAAGAACCUCCAUGGACUUCCAACUCGACAGAUAAGUGAUUCU
RNAcentral lists this long non-coding RNA (294 nucleotides) under Amborella trichopoda. RNAcentral describes it as "long non-coding RNA (ATRI_LNC004101)". The record is from RNAcentral. Lineage: Eukaryota; Viridiplantae; Streptophyta; Magnoliopsida; Amborellales; Amborellaceae.